AAACCAUGCAUCGGGCAUGUUUUCAAUAGCUCCUUGAAUCGCUCUCAUGCUUCAUAUAAUGUUUCAUUCUUUGAUUGUCUAAACGAUGCAAUGUUGUUCCUCAACUU
Gossypium hirsutum (cotton) is the source of this 107-nucleotide non-coding RNA. Lineage: Eukaryota; Viridiplantae; Streptophyta; Magnoliopsida; Malvales; Malvaceae. The record is from Rfam.